Non-coding RNA from Phrynosoma platyrhinos (Desert horned lizard), 71 nucleotides. NCBI's taxonomy places the organism in Eukaryota, Metazoa, Chordata, Lepidosauria, Squamata, Phrynosomatidae. The record is from the annotation of a GenBank genome assembly.
GCCAGAGUGGUGUAGUGGUUUGAACAUUGAACUAUGACUCUGAAAAUCAGGGUUCAAAUCCCUCUUUAGUA